AANCUGUUUAGCAGAGUAAGAUAAAGGNCAAGUGGAAUUCCCAUGUGUAGUGGUAAAAUGCGUAAAUAUAUGGAGGAACNCCAGUAGCGAAAGGCGGCUUGNUGGGGUCNUUACUGACGCUGAGGCACGAAAGCGUGGGGAGCAAACAGGAUUAGAUACCCUGGUAGUCCACGCCGUAAACGAUGAGUANUAAACGUUGGGUAAAACCAGUGUUGAAGUUAACACAUUAAGUACUCCGCCUGAGUAGUACGUACGCAAGUAUGAAACUUAAAGGAAUUGACGGGACUCCGCACAAGCGGUGGAUCAUGUUGUUUAAUUNGAAGGUACCCGAAAAACCUCACCAGGUCUUGACAUGCUUUUGCAAANCUGUAGAAACACAGUGNAGGUUAUCAGUUGCACAGGUGGUGCAUGGUUGUCGUCAGCUCGUGUCGUGAGAUGUUGGGUUAAGUCCCGCAACGAGCGCAACCCUUAUUGUUAGUUACCAGCACGUAAUGGUGGGGACUUUAGCAAGACUGCCAGUGAUAAAUUGGAGGAAGGUGGGGACGACGUCAAAUCAUCAUGCCCCUUAUGACCUGGGCNNCNAACGUGAUACAAUGGCUGUUACAAAGGGUAGCUGAAGCGCAAGUUUUUGGCGAAUCUCAAAAAACCANUCUCAGUUCGGAUNGAAGUCUGCAANUCGACUUCCAUGAAAGUNGAAAUCGGUAGUAUUNGUGAGAGUCCNGGUACNNNCCGGUNACANUACUGAGGAGC
This 750-nucleotide ribosomal RNA is filed under the name 'Alstroemeria sp.' phytoplasma. RNAcentral's name for it is "partial 16S ribosomal RNA". It matches the Rfam family "Bacterial small subunit ribosomal RNA", at positions 631 to 1368 of the family's 1533-position model. Lineage: Bacteria; Bacillati; Mycoplasmatota; Mollicutes; Acholeplasmatales; Acholeplasmataceae. The record is from RNAcentral.